RNAcentral lists this ribosomal RNA (247 nucleotides) under Actinomycetes bacterium. RNAcentral describes it as "Actinobacteria bacterium partial 16S ribosomal RNA". It matches the Rfam family "Bacterial small subunit ribosomal RNA", at positions 1296 to 1533 of the family's 1533-position model. The record is from RNAcentral. Lineage: Bacteria; Bacillati; Actinomycetota; Actinomycetes.
GAUUGGGGUCUGCAACUCGACCCCAUGAAGUCGGAGUCGCUAGUAAUCGCAGAUCAGCAACGCUGCGGUGAAUACGUUCCCGGGCCUUGUACACACCGCCCGUCACGUCACGAAAGUCGGUAACACCCGAAGCCGGUGGCCCAACCCUUGGGAGGGAGCCGUCGAAGGUGGGACUGGCGAUUGGGACGAAGUCGUAACAAGGUAGCCGUACCGGAAGGUGCGGCUGGAUCACCUCCUUUCUAAGGAG